CCGUGUCGUGAGACGUAACAAGCUUCCGAUGGCAGCGAAACGUGCGACAAUCGAUGCCAAUGCACAUGCUCAACUUCACGGCUCAGUAGCAAAUUCACAACUAACCCAUUUUCCGGCCGAUUCUCUUGCUCCACGUGUGUUCUAGCAUGGAUCGAUGGGAUCGCGCAUGCGUGACACGUUUUAAAAAUCUCUCUUUUUUACAAACUCUCCCAGAGAGGAAGAGAGUCAAUUAGAGGCAUAUUGGAAGCCUGUUGUUUGCUGCAGUUAAUAAACGUUAGUGUUUGGUGCAUA
Long non-coding RNA from Anopheles merus, 291 nucleotides. RefSeq lists it as uncharacterized. The transcript is spliced from 2 exons. Lineage: Eukaryota; Metazoa; Arthropoda; Insecta; Diptera; Culicidae. The record is from RefSeq and is a predicted model, not a curated record.